GCAGAGCCCAGGCGCGUGGGUCGGUGUCGGGUGUGUGUGUACGUCUGUGUGUGUAAUGAAACUGGACGCCUUCCUUCCCGGCGAUCUUGACUUAACCUGUCAGCAGAGGGCUUGAGGUUAGACCACAGGUUGAACCUAGGUGGCUGCUGGAGAGAAACACUCUGUCUUCCUGCUUUGAGGACAGCUGAAGUCUUGCCACUUCUUCUGGAUGCUCUGACCAUCAGUAAGAGACACGGUCUGACUUUGUUACCCCGGCUGGAGUGCAGUGGUGCAAUCAUGGCUCACUGCAGCCUUAACCUCCUGGGCUCAAGUGAUCCUCUCGCCAAGGCUAGGAUAAGUAGCUAGGACUACAGAUGCGCCCCAUCACGCCCAGCUAAUUUUACAACUUCUGUAGAGAUGGAGUGUUGCUGGGUUGCCCAGGCUGGUCUUGAAUUCCUGGGCUCAAGCGAUCCUCCUGUGUCCGGAAUUGGUGGGUUCUUGGUCUCACUGACUUCAAGAAUGAAGCCGCGGACCCUCGCGGGUGGAGUCUCCGGGAGGAUGGCUGUGGAAGAACUGCCAAUUCCAAGGGCCUGGUCAGGCAGAGGCAUUCUUACUAUUCCAAAACAAGGAAAGGGUAAAACCAAGAUGUCAAAGGCCCCGCUGGUGUGGAAGCAAAUUUCUGCCUCCACCAGCUGGAUGGCUGCUACCCCUGUACAGGUUCCUAACACUGGAACAGGGAUCAACCCAAGUGCUUGGGGCUCACCAUGUCCUCCUCCCCAGCCAGGACAGCAAGUGGAAGACACAGGCGAGCUGAAAGAGGCUCACUGUGUGCCCAGCCCUAACCCCCUGCCUCAUUGGCACCAGGCACCCAGGACUCCUCAGAACUCAGAGCCAGGGUUUGGGCAGCCUCCUCGUAGUGCUCCUUGAAUAGGAUUUAUAGGACUUGCACCAGGAGCUUUGGGCCAUUCCAGGGGACAUUGCUUUGGGGGAAAAAAGGACCCAAUAUGGGUAUCUAGAACUUGAAGCAUGUCGUCAGAGAUCGGAGCUCCAGGGAAUUGGAAAAUUAUGCUUCAGAGGUUCCCAAGGGAAUGAUGGCCUGAAUCCCACUCCUCCCCCAAAAUAAAGCUCCUUUGACCUCUUUCGUA
This is a long non-coding RNA of Homo sapiens (human), 1124 nucleotides long. Ensembl annotates it as stem cell inhibitory RNA transcript. Its record names the gene SCIRT. The record is from Ensembl. NCBI's taxonomy places the organism in Eukaryota, Metazoa, Chordata, Mammalia, Primates, Hominidae.